CCUACGGGUGGCAGCAGUGGGGAAUAUUGCGCAAUGGGCGAAAGCCUGACGCAGCGACGCCGCGUGAGGGAUGAAGGUCUUCGGAUCGUAAACCUCUGUCAGCAGGGAAGAACGGUCACUGUGCUAAUCAGCAGUGAAUUGACGGUACCUGCAAAGGAAGCACCGGCUAACUCCGUGCCAGCAGCCGCGGUAAUACGGUGGGUGCGAGCGUUAAUCGGAAUUACUGGGCGUAAAGCGCUCGUAGGCGGUAUGUCAAGUCAAGGGUGAAAUCCCCGCGCUCAACGUGGGAACUGCCUUUGAAACUAGCAAACUGGAGUGUGUGAGAGGAUAGUGGAAUUCCAGGUGUAGGAGUGAAAUCCGUAGAUAUCUGGAGGAACAUCAGUGGCGAAGGCGACUAUCUGGAACAUAACUGACGCUGAGGAGCGAAAGCGUGGGUAGCAAACAGGAUUAGAUACCCCAGUAGUC
This 465-nucleotide ribosomal RNA is filed under the name uncultured bacterium. RNAcentral's name for it is "partial 16S ribosomal RNA". It matches the Rfam family "Bacterial small subunit ribosomal RNA", at positions 338 to 795 of the family's 1533-position model. The record is from RNAcentral.